UAUAGGUCAAGCGAAUAAGUGAUUGUGGAUGCCUUGGCGAUACAGCGAUGAAGACGAGUAGCUGCGAAAAAGCUCGGAGACUGGCAAACGAGCUUUGAUCCGCAGAUGUCCGAAUGGGAAACCGGCCCGUAUGGUCAUCCCUUGCUGAAUACAUAGCAGGGAGCGAACGCAGGAACUGAAACAUCUAAUAGCUGCAGAAAGAAAUCAACGAGAUCCCAGAGUAGUGGCGAGCAAAAUGGAACACCUUUACUCUUUAGCAGUAUUUAGCGGAACGAAUGAAAGUCCGCCAUAGUGUGAUAGCCCCGUACGCGAAACAGUAUUGGAACUAGGUGUACACAAGUAGGGCGCGACACGUGAAAUCCUUCUGAAGAUGGGACCAUCCUCCAAGCUAAAUACUCGUGAUCGACCGAUAGUGAACCAGUACCGUAGGGAAAGGCAAAAAAACCCCGGAGGGGAGUGAAAUAGAUCCUAAACCGCAUGCAUACAAACAGUGGAGCCUGGAAACGGGUGACGGCGUACUUUGUAUAAUGGUCAGCGACUUAAUUCAGUGGCAAGCUUAACCGAUUAGGGAAGGCGUAGCGAAAGCGAGUCCGAAUAGGCGUUCAGUCGCUGGUGUAGACCCGAAACCAAGUGAUCUAUCCAUGGCCAGUUGAAGUCGGUAACACGUACUGAGGACCGAACCCACUAACGUUGAAAAGUUAGGGAUAGUGUGGAUAGGUGAAGCUAAACAAACUUGAAAUAGCUGGUCUCUCCAAAACUAUUUAUAGGGCCUCGUGUCUCACCUUCGGGGUAGAGCACUGUCAGUUGGGGGUCAUUGCUGAUUACCCGCCAUAGCAAACUCCGAAUACCGAAGAGUGCAAUCACGGAGACAGACAUCGUGCUAACGUCCGUGUCAAGAGGAAACAACCCAGACCGCCGCUAAGGUCCCUAAAUUGGCUAAUGGAAACGAAGUGAAGGCUAAAACAUCAGGAGGUUGCUUAGAAGCCGCCACCCUUUAAAGAAAGCUAAUAGCUCACUGAUCAGUCGUCCUGCGGAAAAUGUACGGGGCUAAGCCAGUCACCGAAGCGCGGAUGCACGUAAGUGCAUGUAGAGAGCGUUCUGUAGCUGUGAAGGUCUUAAAGGAUGCUGGAGUAUCAGAAGUGAAUGCUGACAUGAGUAGCGAUAAAGGGGGUAAAGCCCCUCGCCGUAAGCCCAAGUUUCCUACGCAACUUCAUCGCGUAGGUGAGUCGCCCUAAGGCAGCAGAAUGCGUAGCUGAUGGAAGCAGUUAAAUUCCUGCACCGUCGUAUAUGCGAUGGGGGACGGAUCGCGGAAGGUUGUCCGGUGUUGGAAGUCCGGUCCUACAUUGGAGAUGCACUUAGGCAAAUCCGGUCGUGAUUCAAGGUGUGGGCGAGCGACGUUAGGUCGCGAAGCAAUUGAAGUGUUCCAAGAAAACCUCUAAGCUUCAGUCAUACAACCGUACCGCAAACCGACACAGGUGGGAACGAGUGAGUAUUCUAGCGCUUGAGAGAACUCGGGAGAAGAACUCGCAAAUGGUACCGUAACUUCGGAUAAGUACGCCCUGUAGUUUGACUGGCUCGCGCCAGAAGGAUGAAGGUUGCAAUAAAAUGGUGCUGCGACUGUUUAAUAAAAACACAGCACUCUGCAAACACGAAAGUGGACGUAUAGGUUGUGACGCUGCCCGUCCGAAGAUAAAUGAUGGGUGCAAGCUCUUGAUUGAAGUCCCGGUAAACGCGGCCGUAACUAUAACGGUCCUAAGUACGAAUUCCUUUCGGUAAGUUCGACCUGCACGAAUGGCGUAACGAUGGCCACACUGUUCCUCCGAGACUCAGCGAAGUUAAUGUUUGUGAUGAUGCAAUCCCCCGGCUAGACGGAAAGACCCCAUGAACCUUACUGUAGCUUUGCAUUGACUUUGAACCGAUCUGGGUAGAUAGGUGGAGCUUUGAAACCGGGACGCUAGUUUCGUGAGCCGACCUUGAAAUACCACCCUGUUGUUUGAGGUUCUAACCUGCCCGUGAUCCGCUCGGACAGUGCAUGGUAGGCAGUUGACGGGCUCUCCUCCAAGUGUACGAGGAGUUCGAAGUACGCUUGUACGGUCGGACAUCGUACCUAAGUGCAAUGGCAAAAGCGUGCUAACUGCGAGACCGACAAGUCGAGCAGUGCGAAAGCAGACAUAGUGAUCCGUGUUCUGUAUGAAGGGCCAUCGCUCAACGGAUAAAAGUACUCUGGGAUAACAGCUUAUACCGCCCAAGAUUAUCGACGGCGGUGUUUGCACCUCGAUGUCGGCUCAUUCAUCCUGGGCUUAGCGGCCCAAGGUAUGGCUGUUCGCCAUUUAAAGAGUACGUGAGCUGGGUUUAAACGUCGUGAGACAUUUGUCCCUACUGUGGCGUUGGAAUCUUGACGGGCUGCUCCUAGUACGAGAGGACCGAGUGGACGUACCGCUGGUGACUGUUUCUCGCCAGAGCAUCGCAGGGUAGCUAUGUACGAAGAUAACGCUGAAAGCAUCUAAGCGGGAAACUCGCCUGAAGAUGAGGAUUCCCUGAAACUUGAUCUCCCUGAAGGUCCUUCAGACCAGGACGUUGAUAGGCGGUGUGGAGCCAGUAAUGCGUUCAGCUAACCAGUACUAAUUGCCCGUGCGGCUUUAUCCUUAACCGUA
RNAcentral lists this ribosomal RNA (2654 nucleotides) under Ralstonia solanacearum. RNAcentral describes it as "bacterial LSU rRNA". It matches the Rfam family "Bacterial large subunit ribosomal RNA". The record is from RNAcentral. Lineage: Bacteria; Pseudomonadati; Pseudomonadota; Betaproteobacteria; Burkholderiales; Burkholderiaceae.